Non-coding RNA from Myodes glareolus (Bank vole), 1532 nucleotides. NCBI's taxonomy places the organism in Eukaryota, Metazoa, Chordata, Mammalia, Rodentia, Cricetidae. The record is from RefSeq and is a predicted model, not a curated record.
ACUACUACCUGGCUUAAGAACCUAUCUCAAAACAAUAACAACAAAAAAAAAAAUACAAUUCCUUUUCCCUCAAGCCUGCUCAUUUUAUCUCAGCCAAAGUGCCACAUUCUUUUUAAAAAUUGAUAUGACAUGAAGAUAUAGCAUGUAUAGUAAAUAAAUGUGUGUGUGUGUGUGUGUGUACACACGCGUGCUCGUGCAUAAUUUUCACUUGUUUCUGGCACAGGACUUCAAAAGCCCUUUGAACUCCCAGGGAGAUGCAUCUUUCCUAUGAUGCUAGAGUGACUCAUCUUUGAGCCCACGACAACCUCAGAAAGAACAACCAUGUGAUUAUUGGAUUAGGUGGUGGGACUCUGAGUCACCCUAACCACUAAAGAGACCAAGGGAGCUGGAGACAGGAGUUAAUCGUGUGGGCCGUGGUUUCGACAAUCAUCUCCAUGUAGUGAAGCACCAAGAAAAACUAGACACCAACGCUUCAGUGGGAGCUUCCUGGUUGGAGAACACGGUGGUGGGCCAGGACGCUAGUUCAUCUGGACUCAGUGAGCAGAGGAGACAGAAGCAAUUGGUCCCCUCCUGUCCUCUCUGCACCUCUUUCAGUAAUUUCCUGAGUUUUGUCCUCAACAAGAAAACUGCCCACAGGGAGAAGGUUUGCUGACUGUUGACAUGGCUCAUCAGAACUGAGGCAGUUAUGAGAACUUUGAAUUUUAAGUAGUGUUGGUCAGAUGUAGGGGUGGCAAGAGGGAUGAGAAACAAGACCUGCUCUAAUAGAUUCAAAAGAAGUGAAGGAAAUCAGGUUUUUUAUACCAUUCUGCAGAAAGAGACGCCAGCAUAGAAAAAAGGCAAAAAUGGUUACUUUGUGAUUCUCAAGUCCCUAAUGAUGAGAAAUUCCUGCUCUCUUUUUCCCAUUGGCUGGGAUUCCAGAGUUAGGAGUUCAUGCUCCUCUAGCACAGGCGUCUUCCCAAAUCCCCACCCUACUGCUUCAGUCAGCAAUGCCUCCCUAAUUGCUGUCCCGGUGUCUGUAAAUCAGGCUGGCCUCAGCUUUCAACUCUGGGACUACAGGCGCUCACUGUGUAUGGGCUCAGUUUUUUAUUGCUGUUGUGGCUCAUUAAGACAGGAGCUCAUGUAGCCCAGGUUAGCCUCAAACUUAGAGGCUAACAAACAAACAACAGAGGCUGACUUUGAACUCUGGUCUUUCCUGCCUCUAGCUUCUCAAGCAGAGGUUGUAGGUAUGGUAUACACCACCAUGAUGGUCUUUGAGAGGCUGGACCAGGUUGGGUGUGGCCUUAGGUACCAAAAAGUUCCUGCUUGAACUCCUGCCCUGACUGCUGUGAGUGAUGGACCUUGACCUGGAAGUUCCUGCUUGAACUCCUGCCCUGACUGCUGUGAGUGAUGGACCUUGACCUGGAAGUUCCUGCUUGAACUCCUGCCCUGACUGCUGUGAGUGAUGGACAAUGACCUGAAAGUUCCUGCUUGGACUCCUGCCCUGAGUGCUGUCAGUGAUAGACCGAGAUGAACCUGGAAGUGUAACCAAAUCA